CCCUUAGAUGUUCUGGGCCGCACGCGCGCUACACUGACGAAUGCAACGAGCUUAUAACCUUGGCCGAAAGGUCUGGGUAAUCUCCAAAUUUCGUCGUGAUGGGGAUAGAUUAUUGCAAUUAUUAAUCUUCAACGAGGAAUGCCUAGUAAGCGCAAGUCAUCAGCUUGCGUUGAUUACGUCCCUGCCCUUUGUACACACCGCCCGUCGCUCCUACCGAUUGAAUGGUCCGGUGAAGCGUUCGGACCGUGGCCUUUGGACGGUUCGCCGUCUGUGGGCUGCGGGAAGUUCGUUAAACCUUAUCAUUUAGAGGAAGGAGAAGUCGUAACA
This 327-nucleotide ribosomal RNA is filed under the name uncultured eukaryote. RNAcentral describes it as "partial 18S ribosomal RNA". It matches the Rfam family "Eukaryotic small subunit ribosomal RNA", at positions 1470 to 1796 of the family's 1831-position model. The record is from RNAcentral.